AGGGUUGUAGCUUAGUGGUUAGAACAUCUGCUUUGCAUUCACAAGGUCCUAGGUUCAAUCCCUAGCAUUUCCA
Podarcis lilfordi (Lilford's wall lizard) is the source of this 73-nucleotide non-coding RNA. Lineage: Eukaryota; Metazoa; Chordata; Lepidosauria; Squamata; Lacertidae. The record is from the annotation of a GenBank genome assembly.